CACUAUGCCUAUUGUAAUUGUGAGGUAUUACCUUGUGAGUGUUAUGAUAAAUGUUGGGAUUGUGGAAAAAGGUUUGUUUGCAGUGCCGAGAAUGAAAGCAGCGUCUAAUAAACAAUAAUAGGAUAAAAAGAAAAAGGGGGGAUUGUAAGAAACUAUGGACUAGGAUAUUGUUUAUUAAGAUUUAUGUUAAGCACCAGUGUAAAGGUUAGGCAACAAAAGAUAUGAAAUCGCUUAUGCAAACAGUCACCAGACACUGCUUGUGCAAGAUAAGAUAACCGCCAGAUGUCCAGGAACCGACAGAAACAGGACAGACAACCCCAUAUAAGGACAUAUGAAUGAGGGGUCAACUAUGGGACAAAAGAGGAAGACUUCUUACUUCGGCCUCAACGACCACCAGGAGGCAGAAAACGACCCCCUAACAACAACUGAAGCAUGCGCGGAGUACCUCCACUACUUCAUGAACACGGAAGUAAAGAUGUAUAAAAAGGG
Molecule: long non-coding RNA, 489 nt
Organism: Neopsephotus bourkii (Bourke's parrot)
Lineage: Eukaryota; Metazoa; Chordata; Aves; Psittaciformes; Psittacidae
Exons: 2
Source: RefSeq, a predicted model, not a curated record